GUGAGGAAUAUUGGACAAUGGGCGCAAGCCUGAUCCAGCCAUGCCGCGUGCAGGAAGACGCAUCUAUGGUGUGUAAACUGCUUUUGUACGGGAAGAAACACUCCCUCGUGAGGGAGCUUGACGGUACCGUAAGAAUAAGGAUCGGCUAACUCCGUGCCAGCAGCCGCGGUAAUACGGAGGAUCCAAGCGUUAUCCGGAAUCAUUGGGUUUAAAGGGUCCGUAGGCGGUUUAAUAAGUCAGUGGUGAAAGCCCAUCGCUCAACGAUGGAACGGCCAUUGAUACUGUUAGACAUGAAUUACAAGGAAGUAACUAGAAUAUGUAGUGUAGCGGUGAAAUGCUUAGAUAUUACAUGGAAUACCAAUUGCGAAGGCAGGUUACUACUUGUGGAUUGACGCUGAUGGACGAAAGCGUGGGGAGCGAACAGGAUUAGAUACCCUAGUAGUCC
This 445-nucleotide ribosomal RNA is filed under the name uncultured bacterium. RNAcentral's name for it is "partial 16S ribosomal RNA". It matches the Rfam family "Bacterial small subunit ribosomal RNA", at positions 354 to 796 of the family's 1533-position model. The record is from RNAcentral.